AGUGCUUGGCUGCGGCAGCUAGGUUUCCGGGCUCCCCCCGAGUCACCCUAGGGGGAGGGCGACGCGAGGGUUGCGAGAGUUGUACGAGAUCACAUCUGUAUUUCGACUACGCAUGCAUAUAGAAGUAAUAAAAGUGAGUACUAAUUAGCUGAUAUGAGUAAAUGCAAUGCGUCAUAAACCUUGUCUAUUUUUGAAAUACACGUAAAUUUAACCGUACCUUGUAAACUAUAACGAAAGAAGUAUAACGUUUAUUAUGAUACUCGACCAUUUUUUCAUUUAAUUAUAUGUUACCUUAUUAAAAUUAAUUAGUUGGCAUGUAUGAUAC
This 325-nucleotide long non-coding RNA is filed under the name Hordeum vulgare. RNAcentral's name for it is "long non-coding RNA (HVUL_LNC005670)". The record is from RNAcentral. Lineage: Eukaryota; Viridiplantae; Streptophyta; Magnoliopsida; Poales; Poaceae.